This 675-nucleotide RNase MRP RNA is filed under the name Fonsecaea pedrosoi CBS 271.37. RNAcentral's name for it is "RNase MRP". It matches the Rfam family "RNase MRP". Rfam says of the family: RNase MRP is an enzymatically active ribonucleoprotein with two distinct roles in eukaryotes. In mitochondria it plays a direct role in the initiation of mitochondrial DNA replication. The record is from Rfam by way of RNAcentral. Lineage: Eukaryota; Fungi; Ascomycota; Eurotiomycetes; Chaetothyriales; Herpotrichiellaceae.
UCCGCGUUCGAAGAAUCGCAUUCAAAGCUCACGCACAGCAGAAGUCUCCUCUGAGAUAUCUGCAGACCAACUAGUCGCCAUUCCCCCACACAGGGAAAAGGCCCAGCUUUGGGAGAAAGUCCCCGGACCGCCCUACCUCUGCUCUCUUCGGAGAGUCAGAGAACGUUAGGACCUGCCGAAAGGCAACCGCCAUAAAAGCAACCUUUCACUGCGGUUUCUUUGUUUCUUGAACAUCCUUUUUCUUUCGCCUCCCUCUCUUCUCCGAGUCACCUGCUGUCCCUCAAUCUCCGACCUCGCUGUCGUCUGCAUUCUCUUCUGAGCCGUUUCGUUUGGGGGUCUCGAUGUGGAAAUGAAUUGAGGGAAGAUAUUUGUCUGGGUGAUGGAUGAAGAUAUGAGUCCGUCGCUGUGAAGACAGGUUUCCCCCUUCUUUUCAUUUCGUGAAACGGAGAGGACUCGGACUUUUCGAGCUUGCGAAGGGAAGAGAUGGAGAGGGUCUAUAACAUUGGGAGCUUGAUGGUCAGUUUGGGUACUUGGGGAGUUCAAAAGAGUGAUUUUUGGAGGUUGCGCAAUUCGUCAUAUGUCGAAAGUUAUGCGAUUGCCCUCUCCCUCAAUUGCUGUGCUUGCAGCAGUUGGGUCAUGGAGGGUAACUCGAUGGGGCUUAUUCUCGAGACGCGG